GGCCUCUAGUUUAUUUAGACUUUCCGAGAAGGUUUCUCCUAAAAUCACAUUAAUUCCUUCUUCCUUGACUGGGAGUUCCAUGUUUGAGUAUCCCUCACAGGGUAAAUGAAGAAUCUCUCCCAAAAGUACAGGAUCUAAAUAGAUUUCUAUACCCUUAACAGUGGAUGUUACUGUUCCAUUGCCAUAGCUCAAGUUCAAAUAAAAUUUUCUAACCAAAUCCAUAUAAGUUCUUUAAGUGAGCAGUAGAAUCCCCAACCUUGAUCUU
Molecule: long non-coding RNA, 265 nt
Filed under: Elaeis guineensis (African oil palm)
Lineage: Eukaryota; Viridiplantae; Streptophyta; Magnoliopsida; Arecales; Arecaceae
Description: long non-coding RNA (EGUI_LNC041006)
Source: RNAcentral